GGCCUUAUCGUCUAGUGGUUGAGGACACCGCCCUCUCACGGCGGCGACGGGGGUUCGAAUCCCCCUAAGGCUA
RNAcentral lists this transfer RNA (73 nucleotides) under Tepidanaerobacter syntrophicus. It matches the Rfam family "tRNA". Rfam says of the family: Transfer RNA (tRNA) molecules are approximately 80 nucleotides in length. Their secondary structure includes four short double-helical elements and three loops (D, anti-codon, and T loops). Lineage: Bacteria; Bacillati; Bacillota; Clostridia; Thermosediminibacterales; Tepidanaerobacteraceae. The record is from Rfam by way of RNAcentral.